Molecule: ribosomal RNA, 420 nt
Filed under: uncultured Actinomycetaceae bacterium
Lineage: Bacteria; Bacillati; Actinomycetota; Actinomycetes; Actinomycetales; Actinomycetaceae
Description: bacterial SSU rRNA
Rfam family: Bacterial small subunit ribosomal RNA
Source: RNAcentral
GGGGGAUAUUGCACAAUGGACGGAAGUCUGAUGCAGCGACGCCGCGUGGGGGAUGAAGGCUUUCGGGUUGUAAACCUCUUUUAUUCCUGAACAAGGCUUGGAUUGUUGUCUGGGUUGAGGGUAGGGGGUGAAUAAGCGCCGGCUAACUACGUGCCAGCAGCCGCGGUAAUACGUAGGGCGCGAGCGUUGUCCGGAUUUAUUGGGCGUAAAGAGCUCGUAGGCGGUUUGUUGCGUCUGCUGUGAAAACGCGGGGCUUAACUUCGCGCGUGCAGUGGGUACGGGCAGGCUAGAGUGCGGUAGGGGAGAUUGGAAUUCCUGGUGUAGCGGUGGAAUGCGCAGAGAUUUGGAGGAACACCAGUGGCGAAGGCGACUUUCUGGUCUGCAACUGACGCUGAGGCGCGAAAGCAUGGGGAGCAAACA